GUGCACUUCCCAUCGCACCAUUACCACCCCCUAACUGUCCUAGACCAUGGCUCCCCACUGGUCCGCUCCUGCCUGAGCAGCUGGCUCCUCUCUGGACUCACUGGCCACUACUGUGAAGCCGGCCAGGCUCAAGGUCCCAGGUGCUCUAUGACUCAGUGGGACAGGUAGCAAUUUUAUUAAUAUUUACUUUUAUACUAAACUAUGUAUGUUUGAUUGUAACCAAGAUAAGAGAUUAAUCUCUACUAGUGUUUGCUUUAUAGACUGAUGGUAGAAUGUGGACCUGAUUCCAGACAAGUGUUCUUGAUAAGCACGUGUGAAAUAUUAUUUGUGAAAGAGAGGAGCAGUCGGGUCAUCUGGAGAGCGUGCCGUUGGCUGGUGUGAAGUCACGAGAGCCAGAGCAGGAUACAGGCUGGAACACACACGCUGGUGGAAAGGGUGCUAAAACUCCAUGAUGAUUAAGAGGUCAGCACCCCUCAAGGACUCCAGAGGGGAAAAAGGAGAGACAGGAAGUGGAGAGCAGUCACAGCGUGCGGGGCAUGCCAGGGGAUGGAACAGCCAUGAGCUGGGCCUGGAAGGCCAGCUGUGCUAUGAGGCAUGCAGAAGGGAAGGAGGAGCAGCUGCACCCGAGGAGAGCAGCACUGGCAAGACGCUGAACUGGAAUCUACCCUGUGAAGUUGUUCGCUACUGGAGAAGUGAACCUACCUUGUGGACUCACACGACUUCAUUCUUUGUGUCUUCCCAGUUUGCAAAGCUGGCACCCUCCCUAUCACAGUGGACUCUUAAGGUCCUUGUGAAGGGGCUUUCUUUAGUGUCCUCAGUUUACACACAAGGACAGCAAGGCGCAGAGAGGGAGGGGACUAUCAUUUGGGUUUGAAUUCUUUCCCAGAAGUUGGCACUGAGCCUGUCCUUCUCAAAGAUCUCAUUGGUGGUGUAACUUAUUACCAGCAAGGUUGCCAACAUCUGUGUCUGAGAGAAGCCGGCCGAGAGACAACCUGUGCACUCACAAAGUGUUCCAACAAAAUAGUUUAUGGAGACACAAUUGCAGAGCUGUGGAGAGGGCUAGGGGCUAGAACCCAGGAACUUGCGGCACUGGGGAGCCAUUAGCACCAACUGUUAUGGAGUAAACUGUGUUCCCCAAAACUCGUAUGUUCAAAACCCAAUCCCGAUGUUACAGAAUGCAACUGUAUUUGGAGGUGGCAUCUUCAAGGAGAUGAUUAAGUUGAGCUGAAGUCACAGGUGUGGGGCCCUAACCCAGUUCCGUUUCAGAGGAGGACUUUUGUACACAGACACAUAUAAAGGAGAGAACGUGAAGAUGCAGGGAGAAGAGGGCCAUCCACAAUUCAAGGAGAAAAACCUGAGCAGAAACCUUGACCUCAGACUUCCAGACUCCUAGGCAAUCGGAAAGUAAAUUUCUGUUGUUUAGUCCACAGAGUCUGUGGUUACACAGCCGUCGUAAUCCAGUAUACCACCCGAUAGCCUGACAAGAUGAUAAAUUGCUCACUUCUCUCCUCCAACUUCUGAUCUGCUGGGGCUUCCCAUGGGCUAAACUCCACUGAAAACCAAAUGAGAUAUGGGUACAAUAGGAUAUGAUCACAGCAAAAACUCUGGGUAAAGGGUAGGAAGAUUCAUUCAUUUGACAAAUACUCAUCAAAUACCAAGAGCUAUUCUGGGUGCUACGGACACACAGGUAAAUAAUACAGAGUCCACAGCCCCCAAGAGCUUACACUGUGGCAUGGAGAUGCAGAUCCUACUACAUGCUCCACUAUGCAAGGGCCUCACUGCACAGUGUUGUCCACAAGGGGACAGUUGCUGUCUGAGCAUGACACAGCAAAAAAAAAAAAAAGAGAGAGAGAGAGAGAGACACUCACUCUAUCCGGAAGGCAGGAGAUAACCAUAGAUAGGGUCAACUCUGGCUGGCCCUGGAAUGAGGAGUAAGAUUUUGUGGAGAGACAGAGGUAAAUACAAAGAGCCAGAGAUAUACAAGAGAGGAUCCCUUUGGAAGGAAGGCCUUCGGGAAGACUGUAAACCCUACAUAGUUAGAAUCACUUUUCAGCUGUAGGGCCUCACAACACUGUUGUCUGUGUUUAGGGUACUUUUGUGCCUGAAGCCAAGAGGAACAAUGGCAAAAACAAGGUUCUAAAGACUUGGGCUCAAGCUCCAGUGCCAGCACCUGAUCCCUGUGUGACUUUGGGCAAGACACUCAACCCUUCUGAACCUGUCUUCUCUCUGGUCCAUGGAUCCAACAGGCUGUAAGGGCAUGUGGUGCUGGCCUGGCCGCUGAGCACAGUGGAAGAAGCAGACUACUUCCUGGCCCCACAGUGUGCACAGAAUGCCUCCCAUGAUGGUUCUCGGAGUGCUCAGUUCACACCUGCUGUCCCACUUACUGGGAUGUGGAGGGUCUGGGGAGCAGAAUAGAAGCAAUGUGUAUGAGCUACUGCUGUUGCUGUGGUGAUGACUGCCAUGUCUAAUGGGGCAUCUUUACUUCCAGUGCUCUCAUUGCCCCCUGCACUUGUCCCUAGCUGUAGCUCACCACUUCUACUCCACGCCUCUUGGACUAUUCAACUCCAACCUCUCCUUUAAGGCCGGGGUCCAGAUCUAUCUUCCCCAAGGAUCCUGCCCAGAGCACCUCAAGUUACAGAGGUAGAACCCUACCUCCUCUCAACUGUCACACCUCUGAGCUCAGCUGGCUCACACUUACCAAGUGCAGAAUGACAGUCUUGGGUAUCUUGGAGUAGUCCAGAGCUUCCUGGGUCAGGAAUACCUGGGAAGGGUGAACUUUAGAGACCAUUUUCAAGCCUCUAGUCCCUCCUGCCCAACCAGUCUACACGACAGCCGGAGCAAUCAUCACGGUCCUCUAUGAGUCAGAACAGGUGACUCUGCAAUAAAGACUUCCCAAGGCAAAAGAGAGUGCUGUUCUUACAGUGUCAGACCUAGACAAAGUCUAGAGUCAGAUCUUGGCCAAGAUGACCUCAGCAGAAGAGGGCAUGUAGUCCCCGGUUCCUCCCAUUGCUCCUGCUCUCUGCCACCCUACAGUGUCCAGCGGCCAGUGAACUGCUGGUUAGCUGAGGGUCCUUGCUUGUUCUGGACCCUGGGUCUCACAUAUGUUGUUCCCUCUGCCAAGUGCCAUCCUCCUCACCGAGUCCGUGUCAUCCUUCAGCCUCAGGCCAAGAGUUGAUGCCCGGAGAAACUGUCACUGCCCAGGAGGAGUGAGUUGCUGCAGGCGUUUGGUUAGUUCUCCAGCACAAGGUGCAUUUACCCUGGAUCCUGGUGUCUUCCGUGGAUGCUGACUUCCCCCAAGCUGUGUCUCAGUCCUUGUUGUCUCCUGAUGUCACCUUGACAUGGAGGGUCAGCCAUGACCCUCAAUAAGUGCUGAGCAUUUUGGUUGUUGUUCACCUUCACUUUUGUGGCUCUGCAUUGUAGCUUCGGUCUUUUCCUAUUUACCAGUGGAUGCGCUGGUCACACAUCCAGGGAGGGCUCAUUUCUCUAGUAGACUUGGGAAGACCAGGGCUUCUCCAGGGAACUGUGCUGUCUCAGGCAUUCCCAGCACCUUCAGAACCAAAGGUGAGUCCUUCUGUACCUCUAGAAAGUAAAACCCUUACCGGAGAGGAUGCACGUAUACAUAGUGUAAAAAUAACCAAAAGUCAUUCAGAUCCGAGAGAGGAGGACAAGACAGUAACAAAAAGUACUAGCUCAGAGUAGGCGCUCCAGCCCAC
RNAcentral lists this long non-coding RNA (3713 nucleotides) under Chinchilla lanigera (long-tailed chinchilla). RNAcentral's name for it is "lncRNA (ENSCLAG00000023483.1)". The record is from RNAcentral. Lineage: Eukaryota; Metazoa; Chordata; Mammalia; Rodentia; Chinchillidae.